Molecule: long non-coding RNA, 257 nt
Filed under: Gossypium barbadense (sea-island cotton)
Lineage: Eukaryota; Viridiplantae; Streptophyta; Magnoliopsida; Malvales; Malvaceae
Description: long non-coding RNA (GBAR_LNC002567)
Source: RNAcentral
CCCUUUCUUACAUUUGCAAAUAGCUGCCAUAUGAUAGAGAAAUUCCUCAUUUACCCCAAUCCCUACAAUACAUGAUUUUUUGAAAUUUAUACUCAAUCCUGAAAAAAUCUCAAAACAACAGAGUAUAAAUUUCAUAUUUUCCACCACCUUUUCCACUGCCUUUAAGAACAAAAAAGUAUCAUCUGCAAACUGUAAAUGCUAUAUCAUUUGAUCCAGAAGAACACCAUGAAUACCUUCAAUUAAUCCCAACACCCCAG